GAUGAAGAACGCAGCGAAAUGCGAUAAGUAAUGUGAAUUGCAGAAUUCAGUGAAUCAUCGAAUCUUUGAACGCACCUUGCGCUCCUUGGUAUUCCGAGGAGCAUGCCUGUUUGAGUGUCAUGAAAUUCUCAACCUUUUCAGCUUUCUUUGUUGAUCAGGCUUGGAUGUGGGAGUAUGCGGGCUUCUUAGAAGUCGGCUCUCCUGAAAUGCAUUAGCGGGACCUUUGUUGCCUGGCUUUGGUGUGAUAAUUAUCUACGCCAUUGUAGUCAAGGAGCUUAAAAUGAGGUUUCAGCUUCUAACCGUCUCCCCUGAGACAACUUUUUGACAAUUUGACCUCAAAUCAGGUAGGACUACCCGCUGAACUUAAGCAUAUCAAUAAGCGGAGGA
RNAcentral lists this unclassified non-coding RNA (387 nucleotides) under soil metagenome. Its description in RNAcentral is "partial contains 5.8S ribosomal RNA, internal transcribed spacer 2, and large subunit ribosomal RNA". The stretch from base 1 to 120 matches the Rfam family "5.8S ribosomal RNA", at positions 35 to 154 of the family's 154-position model. The record is from RNAcentral.